This 295-nucleotide ribosomal RNA is filed under the name uncultured bacterium. RNAcentral describes it as "partial 16S ribosomal RNA". It matches the Rfam family "Bacterial small subunit ribosomal RNA", at positions 775 to 1067 of the family's 1533-position model. The record is from RNAcentral.
GGAUUAGAUACCCUGGUAGUCCACGCCGUAAACGAUGUCUACUUGGAGGUUGUGGCCUUGAGCCGUGGCUUUCGGAGCUAACGCGUUAAGUAGACCGCCUGGGGAGUACGGUCGCAAGAUUAAAGCUCAAAUGAAUUGACGGGGGCCCGCACAAGCGGUGGAGCAUGUGGUUUAAUUCGACGCAACGCGAAGAACCUUACCAGCUCUUGACAUUCACUGACUGUUUUCAGAGAUGAAUUCGUCCUAGCAAUAGGCAGUGGGACAGGUGCUGCAUGGCCGUCGUCAGCUCGUGCCG